Long non-coding RNA from Sinocyclocheilus rhinocerous, 255 nucleotides. RefSeq lists it as uncharacterized. The record is from RefSeq and is a predicted model, not a curated record. The transcript has 3 exons. NCBI's taxonomy places the organism in Eukaryota, Metazoa, Chordata, Actinopteri, Cypriniformes, Cyprinidae.
CUUUAGCAACUUCCCCUGAAAAUUAGUUGGCAACACUGGUCCAAACGAUGGGCUAUCACGAUUUGCAUUUGCUUCUUUAGGCUACAGGAGAUCAUGGUCAUGCUGUCCUGUGACAUGAUGUGGAUUUAAUCAGACUCAAAACAGCUUUGAAACUCAUCCUGGACUGGUUCUUUAACAGCACCUGAGGGCGGGAGACAGCAGGUUAUGUGUCCAGGUCUUUCUCGCACACCUUCCUCGACCCCAUCACUCCCACCC